This 387-nucleotide ribosomal RNA is filed under the name Fejervarya limnocharis (Boie's wart frog). Its description in RNAcentral is "partial 12S ribosomal RNA". It matches the Rfam family "Bacterial small subunit ribosomal RNA", at positions 875 to 1394 of the family's 1533-position model. The record is from RNAcentral. Lineage: Eukaryota; Metazoa; Chordata; Amphibia; Anura; Dicroglossidae.
GCCUAGUCGUAAAUAUUCACUUACGAUCUCUCGUCGCCCGGAACUACGAGCUCUAGCUUAAAUCCCAAAGGACUUGACGGUGUCCCACCCAACUAGAGGAGCCUGUCCUAUAAUCGAUGGUCCCCGAUAUACCCAACCUUUUCUUGCUCAUCAGUCUGUAUACCUCCGUCGCAAAUCUACCAUAUGAAUGAUACAUAGUUCGGUUCAACGAUCACUUCAUCAGAACGUCAGGUCAAGGUGCAACCUAUGAAAAGGCAAGUGAUGGGCUACAAUUUCUAACCUAGAACAAACGAAAUACUGCAUGAGACACAGGAACAAGGAGGAUUUAGAAGUGAAGAGAAAAUAACGAGUUCUCUUUAACAUGGCCUGGGACAUGUACACACCGCC